This 1038-nucleotide long non-coding RNA is filed under the name Homo sapiens (human). Its description in RNAcentral is "non-protein coding lnc-AGT-1:1". Lineage: Eukaryota; Metazoa; Chordata; Mammalia; Primates; Hominidae. The record is from RNAcentral.
CGAACCCCUGACCUCAGAUGAUCCACCCGCCUCAGCCUCCCAAAGUGCUAGGUUUACAGGCAUGAACCACUGAGUCCAGCCCUUUUAUUGGAAUAUGUUUUAAAGCAAAUUCUAAACACCAUAUCAUUUCCUAUCCCCUAAUACCUCAGUUUACGCAUCAAAAGAAGAAAAAAAAACCCUGACAUUUUGUAACACCUAACAAAACCAGCAAUUCCAAUAACCAAUCUAUAGUGGCUCUGAAAGGUGGGCCUUUAUCCCAAGGUCACACUGUUAAUAAGUGGCAAGUUGCAAACCCAGGCAGCCUGGCUUCAAAGCCCAGUACCAAGGCACGGGAGAGGAUGCUGGACAGAUGAAACAAAGAUGUCUGCAACCCUGCCUUCUCUUUCGAGGCUCUGCAGGAAGUCUAGGUAAGCUGGAACUUGAACUCUUUCUUUCUUCACUGUAAUUCCCUUCUGACAUUGUUCCUGGGACUUUAGAAAUAAAAUGAACCUGAAUUUGUACAGACUGGGCUUAUCUUGAGGAUGCUAAAGGGAUUAAGUGGCAACAGCGAUGGAGGGUCCCUGCUGCCUGCUGUCCUCCCUAGAUUCAGAAGGGAACCAUCAGGACCCCAUGGAGUGGGCUGCGGCUUGGAGACACAGAUAGUGGUGCAGACCACCACAGCCAGGCGCAACAAGAAAGACUUCAAUGCUAGCAUCAUAAUCUACAGAGGACAAACGCAAGAGAGAAAGCCUACACCUGCCCAGAGGACAUGGCCCUGGGUUUCCACUCAGAGCUGAUGUUCAACUGGCACACAGUAUUUCAGCUGUGCUACUUGCAUUACAGGAGAAAUUGUGACUUUGAAAUGAACCAAGAAGGUUACAGUUGUCUUCAAAGGAAAAAGAGUCAGUCUAGCAUGCCAUUCCAGAUGUGACUCUAUGGUGUAUCCUGUGCCUUUCUUGACUUUAAGCUAUUUUACAACUCUGUAAGUUGUGCAUAACUGAUAGCAAUGCAAAUAAUAGUAACAUUUGUCUAUAAACAUGCAAAUAAAUUUUAUCCUGU